This 772-nucleotide ribosomal RNA is filed under the name uncultured bacterium. RNAcentral's name for it is "bacterial SSU rRNA". It matches the Rfam family "Bacterial small subunit ribosomal RNA", at positions 625 to 1390 of the family's 1533-position model. The record is from RNAcentral.
CUUGGUAACUGGAUUUCGGUUCCGGUAGGGGUAAGCGAAAUUUCUUGGCGUGGCGGUGAAAGGCGUGGUAUUCAGGCGGAACACCGGGGGCGAAGGCGGGGUACUGGACGGUAUCGGCGUUAUGGCUCGAAAAGCGUGGGGAGCAUAACACGAAUUAGAUACCCUUGUUAGCCCCACCCCGUCAACGAUGAAUACUAAGAUGUUGGGUGCCCAGAGGCAUUCGGUCCGCCGCAAACGCAUUAAGUAUUUCCCCUUGGGGAGUACGUUUCGCAAGAAUGAAACUCAAAGGUAUUGACGGAGACCCGCCCAAGCGGUGCACCAUGGGGUUUAAUUCGUAGCAACGCGAAGAACCUUACCAAGUCUUGACAUCCCCCUGACAGAUGGAGCAAGGUCCAUUUCCUUUCGGGGCAGGGGAGUCAGGUGGUGCAUGGUUGUUGUCAGCUCGUGUCGUGAGAUGUUGGGUUAAGUCCCGCAACGAGCGCAACCCCUGCCCCCAGUAGCCUGCGGUUUGGCGGGGCACUUUGGGGGGCCUGCCAGGGACAACCUGGAGGAAGGCGGGGAUGACGUCAAAUCAUCAUGCCCCUUAUGAUUUGGGCUACACACGUGCUACAAUGGCGUAAACAAAGGGAAGCGAACCCGCGAGGGAGGGCAAAUCCCAAAAACAACGUCCCAGUUCGGACUGCAGUCUGCAACCCGACUGCACGAAGCUGGAAUCGCUAGUAAUUGCAGAUCAGCAUGCUGCGGUGAAUACGUUCCCGGGUCUUGUACACAC